AUGAGUGAAGAGAUGAAGCUUGAGUGGACUGUUGCAUUUGCAUUGAGAGGAGAUGCUCUUGAUUGGUGGAUUUCUUGGAAGGAGAAUCAUCCAAAUACUUGCAGUGAAAUUCAAGAACCAACUGAAGAAAAGAUUGGUGGUAAAGUUGAUGACUCACAAAUCCAAGUAUAUAGUGAAAAAGAAGUUUGUAAAGUAGAUAUCAAAUCCUGA
This is a non-coding RNA of Vicia faba (fava bean), 210 nucleotides long. The record is from the annotation of a GenBank genome assembly. NCBI's taxonomy places the organism in Eukaryota, Viridiplantae, Streptophyta, Magnoliopsida, Fabales, Fabaceae.